This 463-nucleotide ribosomal RNA is filed under the name uncultured bacterium. RNAcentral's name for it is "partial 16S ribosomal RNA". It matches the Rfam family "Bacterial small subunit ribosomal RNA", at positions 29 to 507 of the family's 1533-position model. The record is from RNAcentral.
ACGAACGCUGGCGGCGUGCUUAACACAUGCAAGUCGAACGGAAAGGCCCUGCUUGCCGGGUACUCGAGUGGCGAACGGGUGAGUAACACGUGGGUGAUCUGCCCGCACUUCGGGAUAAGCCUGGGAAACCGGGUCCAAUUACGGAAAUGACCUUUCAUGGAGUGUGGGGGGUGGAAAGAUUUGUUGGGGUGGGAUGGGCCCGCGGCCUAUCAGCUUGGUGGUGGGGUAAUGGCCUACCAAGGCGUCGACGGGUAGCCGGCCUGAGAGGGUGGACGGCCACAUUGGGACUGAGAUACGGCCCAGACUCCUACGGGAGGCAGCAGUGGGGAAUAUUGCACAAUGGGCGGAAGCCUUAUGCAGCGACGCCGCGUGGGGGAUGACGGCCUUCGGGUUGUAAACCUCUUUCGACAGGGACGAAGCUUCGGUGACGGUACCUGUAUAAGAAGCACCGGCUAACUACGUG